Molecule: RNA transcript, 1888 nt
Organism: Drosophila miranda
Lineage: Eukaryota; Metazoa; Arthropoda; Insecta; Diptera; Drosophilidae
Exons: 3
Source: RefSeq, a predicted model, not a curated record
UGCCCACUGGUCCGGGGCAGCCAGAGCUAUUGCUUGUUUUGUUCCCUUCUUCAUUCUUCUUUCUUUGUUGUUCCGCCCUCUGGUCCGGGGCAGCCAGCAUUGGGUUGAGUGUCUGUGUGGAUGUGUGUAUGUGCGUGUGUGGUUGUGCGCAGCAGUCAGUUAUCUCGGCAGUGGAAAUGGCAGGAAUCCACCACCUUCCAGAGGUUGUUGUUGUCUUCUCUCUUCCUCUCAGGGAGAUCACUGGCACCAGUUCGGGGUCUAUAGGAGAAGGAGAAACAGAAAUUGCGCAGCAGAGAUGCUAACGCUCAUAGUUUUGAACAGCGGCGCCUUGGUCGGACGCGUUUUUGGCAGUCGGUCGCAUGAGUCUUCUACUCUUUUAAACAAUUUGCAGCUGUCCAUUUCCAUGUCGCCAGUUGGUCGGUUCGGGAAGAUAUUUGUCAGUGUUCUCAUUCCGUAACGGCCAAUUGUCGCGCUCGCAUAUGCCUCUGUGUUUUUUUUUCCGUGCGUGUGUGUUUUCUGUGUACGAAUGUGGCAGCCAUGGUUGUUGCAUUCUUAGGGGCUGAACGGGACUUUGCUGGCGCUUUUGAGUAGAUUCAGCAGCGGCGGCCGCAUGCUGGAUCCGCUCCUGAGUCAGCAGGGUGAUGAGAUAGUCCAGUUUCUGGCUGAGCUCAUCGCUAGGACGGACACUCUGACUGCUCGCCACGGGCUGGAAUCCAGUUGUGGUCGCUGCUGGCGGCACCGAAUGCCAUACUUGCCUCCCAGGAAGAGGCUGGGAAUGUCUCGCUGGUUGCCGUGUGCGGAGUGCAUCGGCAUAACUGCUCAUUUGAACUGGAGGAGCAGGAGCUCUUGCGCCAGAGCGCGCUCGCCGGCGGCUAGGUUGCUGCAGUGCUGGAAAUCCCUGCUGGUUCAUGACGGGUGGCUGGCGGGGACGCCGCAAACCCUGAGUGGCGGGUAAGUACUCCUUAUACUUCACACAGCCACGGUAGCUGGCAACAUGGGGACCAUCACAAUUUGCGCAUUUCGGCACCUCCUCCCGCUUCUUGGGGCAGUCCUUAGGGUCGUGCUUAUCGCCGCACUUCAAACAAAUAACUGCACGGUUGCAGUAAUUCUUCGAGUGCCCAAACAUCUGACACUUAUGGCACUGAGGAACACCUGGCGCACGUAUGGGCUUCUCCACCUUGACCCGUUGGCUGCAGAUUGCCGUUAGUUCAUAGAUGUUAUUGUUAAUAUCCUGAGGCUCUAGCUCAACCUCGAAUAGGUCCAGUGGCUCCUUUGUAAACCUUUUAAAGAUAUUGGCAAUAUGCCUCACUUUAUAUCCGAGUCUUCCGAGCUGUUCACGCACCCAAUCUGUGGGUGUGGAGCGGUGCAGGUGGCGUAUAACAAUACGCAUUCCCCUCUCGCUUUUCAGGCGAAACGUUUUUGUUGUGUCGUAUGCAGCGGUGGCGAUACGUAACUAACAUAACGCAACGUAACCCAGCUCGAGCCUUGGCCUGAUCCAGCAGGUUAGGGGAGCCAGAGUUACGUUGCGCUAUGGGGACUUUAUUGUACCUAUACUAUAACAGCAUUUUUAGUACAAAUUGUUGGGGCUGUAGCUUAUAAAUAUAUGUAAAUAGCUGUCUACGAGCUGCUGUUAGCAGCCGUAGGCAGCAAAUACGAUGCUUUGAACAGCACGAAAUCUCCUCUGCCGGCAGUGCUGCCGGCGCAAUCAUCAUUGGGGGAAAUCUCUCCACUUUGGCAACAGUCCGUUAGCCAGAGCGGGGAGAGGGAGUGGGCAGAGCCAAAGCAUAAAAUACUCUAGACUUUAAAUUAAGUUUAAGUUUACAUUAUCGACUAAGGGGAAACAUUUUGGCAGAAAAGGGAGAUUAUAUAUGUAUGUUUUCUAUUCUAA